UGGGGAAUUUUGGACAAUGGGCGAAAGCCUGAUCCAGCAAUGCCGCGUGUGUGAAGAAGGCCUUCGGGUUGUAAAGCACUUUUGUCCGGAAAGAAAUGGCUCUGGUUAAUACCUGGGGUCGAUGACGGUACCGGAAGAAUAAGGACCGGCUAACUACGUGCCAGCAGCCGCGGUAAUACGUAGGGUCCAAGCGUUAAUCGUAAUUACUGGGCGUAAAGCGUGCGCAGGCGGUUGUGCAAGACCGAUGUGAAAUCCCCGAGCUUAACUUGGGAAUUGCAUUGGUGACUGCACGGCUAGAGUGUGUCAGAGGGGGGUAGAAUUCCACGUGUAGCAGUGAAAUGCGUAGAGAUGUGGAGGAAUACCGAUGGCGAAGGCAGCCCCCUGGGAUAACACUGACGCUCAUGCACGAAAGCGUGGGGAGCAAACAGG
Molecule: ribosomal RNA, 429 nt
Filed under: Bacillota bacterium
Lineage: Bacteria; Bacillati; Bacillota
Description: Firmicutes bacterium partial 16S ribosomal RNA
Rfam family: Bacterial small subunit ribosomal RNA
Source: RNAcentral